Molecule: ribosomal RNA, 77 nt
Filed under: Leptodophora orchidicola
Lineage: Eukaryota; Fungi; Ascomycota; Leotiomycetes; Helotiales
Description: Cadophora orchidicola partial 5.8S ribosomal RNA
Rfam family: 5.8S ribosomal RNA
About the family: 5.8S ribosomal RNA (5.8S rRNA) is a component of the large subunit of the eukaryotic ribosome.
Source: RNAcentral
UCAGUGAAUCAUCGAAUCUUUGAACGCACAUUGCGCCCUCUGGUAUUCCGGGGGGCAUGCCUGUUCGAGCGUCAUUA